RNAcentral lists this ribosomal RNA (321 nucleotides) under uncultured bacterium. Its description in RNAcentral is "bacterial SSU rRNA". It matches the Rfam family "Bacterial small subunit ribosomal RNA", at positions 32 to 333 of the family's 1533-position model. The record is from RNAcentral.
AAUCAACGCUGGCGGCGUGCCUCAGACAUGCAAGUCGAACGCGAAAGUUUCCUUCGGGAAGCGAGUAGAGUGGCGUCCGGGUGAGUAACACGUAGGUAAUCUACCUUUGGGUGGGGAAUAACAACCGGAAACGGUUGCUAAUACCGCAUAAUGCAGCGGCACCACAUGGUGACAGUUGUUAAAGCGGGGAGUCGCAAGACCUCGCGCCUAAAGAGGAGCCUGCGGCGGAUUAGCAGUUGGUAAGGUAACGGCUUACCAAGGCAACGAUCCGUAGCCGGCCUGAGAGGGCGGUCGGCCACACUGACACUGAAAUACGGGUCA